Molecule: long non-coding RNA, 201 nt
Filed under: Gallus gallus (chicken)
Lineage: Eukaryota; Metazoa; Chordata; Aves; Galliformes; Phasianidae
Source: RNAcentral
UACUGCCUCAGCACUUACAAUAGAACCACCACUGAUCAGCCUACUGAUUUGCAGCUUCUCAGCUCCAGGCUUGAGGAGGUUCCAUCUACGUCCGCCGUUCCUGCGCACCUUCAGAGUCUUUGAAGCCAGUUCGUUCUCAGCGCGUCUUCUGAGCAGGUGCUGCAUGCGCCCACCCACUUGGUCCAGCCCCAUCGGGGUGCU